UGUUACAUCUUUUUUAUGUAUUCUCUUUUUUUAUUUAUCAAUUACAAUUGUGCAAUCUAUAUCAUAAAGCGGUUAAAAUUGUUUAAUCCAGCAAAAUUGAUAAACAGCGAUGCCAAAAUAGAAUGAAGGAUUUUAAACCUAUUUGAUUUUUUAAGUCUAAUUUAAUAGAAUUUUAAAAUAUUUUUUCUCAGUUGUAGGAUGAUCUUCAAAAUAUUUUUUCUCUUCAAUGAGUUAAAUGAAUAUCGAGAUCAAGCAAUUGAAAGAGUAGCCAAGGAGAGAUUCCACUAUGAGUUAAAUGAAUAUCGAGACAGAGAGAGGGUUCGCUGAAGAGAGAGAAGACCGCGACCAGUGGUGUUAGAUCUUCAACGGCGAGCGGCGCCGCUAAUGUCGAGAAGGCGUUAGCCGGAAGAAAGAAGGAAGAGGAGAGAGAGAGCUCGAUGGUGAUGGAAGCAUCUGCGCGGAAGAAGAAUGGCAGCGGUGAGUGAUGGCUGAGGUAGAACAAGCACGAUGAUGAUGGUGGUAAAGAGAGGCUCGACGGUGGUGGUGGAGUUGUUGCUGCCGCAGGAGCCACCGUUUGAGAGGCGGAGGUUGAAGUUGGGUUGGAGAUAAUGGUAUUUGAUGGCUAAUUUGUGUAGAGCAGUGGCAGGCAGCUUCAGAUAUGUUGCUACCAUGCUUCUUCUAAUAUGACCAAUUAAGUUCAAAAGUUAUGCAACCAAUAGAAGUAGAGAAAGCAACUACAUUCUGCAAACGUUGUUGUCAAAUACAGAUCAGCCACUACACUGUCUUUGUAUACUUUGGUUUGAUUGCAUGCAACUCAACAUCUAGCUGAACAUCACCGCCCACCAUGUUGUUUUACAUGGUAUUAUGUUUAAUUCUCUUAAAUCCGUGAGAAACAUGAGACAUGGUAACAUUAUAUUACAAGCUACUGCAUAAUAAGCAUUUGAUACUACUAGUUUUCAAGCAAAUAAAGUUCCUUGUGCGAUUGCUAACAAUAUACAUAAAUCAUGGAUAAAUUAUUGGAUUUGAACAUGAAAGGAAAAAACACAAAUUGACAAUGAAAUUGUUAAAUUAGAAUGAUACAAACUUAGCUGUUUAUGUUCUACAUCUCAUUCAUCAGUGAUUCUGCAAUCUUAGUGGCAAUACAAUAUGCUGUGGACUGAAUUGUUAUCAUGGGGUUGACACCAACAGCAUUGGGAAACACACUUGCAUCACACACAUACAACCCUUCUGCUUCCCAACUCUCACCAUUUUCAUCAAGUGCGCCGUCAUCUUUGGUGGCGCCCAUCCUACAACUUGCCAUCUGAUGUGCAGUAGUGAAAAGAGUCCAAAGUUCAUUCCUUGAGCUUGGACCACCAGCCACUGUGACUGUGUCCAGAAACUCCUCAAAAUCUUCCUCCUUGAUCCCUUUGCAUUUGAUUCUUUGGCCAUCGCUCCUGUAAGUGCCCACUUCUACAGCUCCGGCUGCAACCAAGAUCCUCAAGGCUUUCCUCAAUCCAAUUCUAAGGCUUUCUUUGUCCACUUGGUCAAGUCUGUAAGAAACUCUGCCUUCAGCCUUUACUUCUCCUGAACCCUGGUCUCUUAUCAAAGCAAAAAGGUGCGCAGUUCUUGCAUACUUUGCCAACCUGUCUUUUGCAUCGAGCCCUGAGACCCAAGGAACCAAUGCUGAAAAUGAUCCGGGUCCUAGAGCAGGUGCUUCUAUAAUGAAUUUUGGGGUGGAAUCCUCUGCAAAUUCUUUGUGGAUUGAAGUUAUGAUUCCUCCCUCAUAGUUAGUUCCACUGAAAUUUGUCAUGUCUUCCGGGAAGUACCCCCAGGCGAAUUGGACUGGGUGUAGUCGGAGGUUCUUCCCAAUGUAUGGAUUUUGCAGGCCACUUGAAAUCAAUAGAGGAGGUGUGGAGAGAGAGCCACAUGAUGAAAUAGAUACCUUGGAUUCAAUUCGGAGCUUCUUUGAGACCUUACUCCUCCAAGUGGCUGCAGCAAUUACUCCUCUGCAUUUCUUUUUCUUCAGUCCAUUCUUUCCAUCUUCCAAUAUGAACUUCUCGGCUUUACAUCCAGCGAGGAUCACUGCUCCGUUCGCAACAGCAUCAACCAACCAAGUAGAGUCAGUGCCCUUCUUAUCUCCAGUUCUACAACCAUAGCAGCAUGAGCCACAAUAAUGAUCUGCUGAAGCGUUUGUUGCAACUGACUCAACUUUUAAGUCAACUUUCUUGCAUCCUUCUCGGAGAAUUUGAUUUUGAAAGCUUUCUUUUGCGCAUUGUGGUGUCACCCCAAUCCUUUUGCAUACCGCAUCCAUUGCAGAUUGAUAAUUAGAGCUUCCAAAAAGUGGGAUUUUAUAUUUUUCAGACCAUUCCUUCAGAACAGGAUCAGGUGUUCUGAUGCAUGCAGACCAGUUUAUAGCUGAGCCUCCACCAACUGUUGAACCAGCCAAGAUCAUCAUCUUCCCGUCGACACUUGACAUGAUUCCACCUGAUUCAUAAAGCUCAUUCGUGGACGGACCUUCAAAGGAAGAAUAAUCUUCGGAAACAAAAUACUCUCCUUUCUCUAGGACAACCACUUUCAGACCCGAGUUUGCGAGAAUUGCAGCCGCAACUCCUCCACCACAGCCAGAGCCAACAAUGACAACAUCACAUUUGAUGUUGUAUGAAUUGUGCUCUAGAUCUUCAGUGACUUCAAGGCCCUUUUCAGUGAGAGACUGGAUUAAAGUAGAAUCAUUUUCAUACAUAGUCUCUACUAUCCCCUUCUGUAGAGGCCUCUCCUUAUGUGUUAACUUCUGUCUGGUGUCCACUUUGUACCCCAUUGCUUCCCAUGCAGGAUUAUGCCCGCUUCCAUCAGUCUGCAGCAAUUGGAGAAAAGUAGCAAAGUUAAACAAAAGGGAACAAAAAUAAUUAGUUACUUAGCUAGCAAGAAAAGGGAUUAACAAGACAAUUAUGAGACAUGCAGCUUUUCAGUAUGCCUCUCAGUCAAAUAAUCAAAUAUGUGACUGAAAUCUCAGAGAAGAAGAAAACCAUUAUUACCCUUGUGAAGAAAUUGUAGAAGGAAACAAGUUUGAUGAACACAAACACUAUCCUUAGAGGUGUCCAAUGGUUCUCCCUUGACCAUUUCUUGAGAAUUUCUUCUCUUUUGUUCAAUGGAAUCUCAGAGAAUUUGUGGAUGAAAAGCCACUUCCAUUCCAAGCAAUCCUUUCCACAAAGCAACAGUGUUCCAAACCUGAAUGAAAGAAUCCGCAGAACCCAGCUAACUAAGGACCAUGCUUCUGGUUUUGUUCCUUGUUUAAUGGGAGAGAAGGCAAUAGGGCCUCACAGAAGGAAGCCAUAACUUGCAUCUGAGAGGAAGAUAGGCCAUGGCUGUAACCUUUCUCUCUUCUGUUACCUCCUCUCAGAAGAGGAGAAAGAUCAAGACAGUGAGGUUGAGGAAUGAAUUUGGAACAAAACAACGCUUGGUGUCAUUUUCAAUUAUGGGUAUGCCAAUCAAGAUUGCAAUAAAUUUCAACAAGUCUUGUGUCUUUUAAUAUUUAAUUAUAGAAUCAUGCAUAUAUCUAUAUACUCUAUUUUGUUACAAGCUACAAAGUCCAUCCUCAAUUCCUCAUCCACCACAUAAUAAUAAUGUUCUAAACAAUUUUUCAAACAUGUGAUCCGCAUAAUUUAUAACAAUAAAAAUAAUGGUGGUUGUUUGGUUUUAUUGAUAUUUGAUUAUUUUCAGACAAUCUAUGGCUAAGGCCUAAGAUAUGUCCCGAGUUGAGGUUUUGGAAGAAAUAUUGAUAUAUAUAUAUAUAUAUAUAUAUAUAUAUAUUUAUUUUCUAACAGAUUUUUGUUAAGGUUAUUUAUAUUUUUUUCUAAUUUUUUAAUACAAACUUUCUAUUAUGCAUUCUAAUGACAUAUGCUAGCUAAAUUUUUAUGUAAAUAGUAAAAAAUUUGAAUUUAUAACUAAUCUUAGAACUUCUCUUUUUUCGUUCCCUUAACUUGUGCUUUUGUUAGAGUCUUAGAGCACUUUCUAUUCCUAUAAUAAGUUACUUUAUUCAUUGGACCAGUUAUAUUCCGUGGCAUUUAAGACUCCUUCAUAGUUAUUUCAUUAUUUGAGUGGCAUUUAAGACUCCUUUAUAGUUAUUUCAUUAUUUGAGAGACGAAAGACCAAACCAUAAAUAACUUAAGAGGAGGGACGAAAGAAAUUAAAUGUCAUAUUACAGGGCAAAGGUGUAAUGAAUUUUCUACAAGUUAAAGUACACUAAGUUUAACAUCGGUUUUGGCAUUAGAAAAAGAAAAAUAUUGUAUGAUACCAAAAAUCAAAUACCAAAUUAAGUAUUAUAUAUUUUUAUAUAUGUGUAUUGUUUUACAUAUUUUUAAUGUAUGUUUUGUAUUUCAACAUA
Long non-coding RNA from Arachis stenosperma, 4360 nucleotides. RefSeq lists it as uncharacterized. NCBI's taxonomy places the organism in Eukaryota, Viridiplantae, Streptophyta, Magnoliopsida, Fabales, Fabaceae. The record is from RefSeq and is a predicted model, not a curated record. The transcript is spliced from 6 exons.